CACAUAACACAUGCAUGGUUCUACUUCACACGUAUAUUGGUUUAGGACUAGAGGAUUACUAGCGGACGGUAUACCGUUAGUACGGUACAAGUACGCCCCGAACAAUGACCUCCACGAGAGCCGGGACCUCACCAUCACGGUCCACCCACCGCGACUAGGGCGUCACAGUCGCUGCAAUAGGAUCCCGUUUCGACGGGAUACUGUACGGUAGUAUUUCCGUUAGGACUACUCGGGAAAGCGUAAAACGCGUCCACUGACCGCGUCCCUCUUCGUCCACAAGGGCAGCGAGGCUGCAGACAGCGUGCAUCGCUGUUCUCUGUCCAUCCACUGAUAGCGUCUAAUUCUGUUUCUGUCCCGAAUUGUGUGUGUUCAUGUGUAAGGUAGGGCAGUUCAUACAUGAAUACUAUGCAGUAGAUUGGUGGCUCGGUCCUACUCGUUUUUAGGACAAGUACUGUGAGAGUGUAUACAGAUUGGUGGCUUGGUCCUACAUGUUUUUAGGACAAGUAUUUUAAUCUAGAGCGUGAGUGUACGUGUGUGCACACGAUAAAAAC
This 551-nucleotide long non-coding RNA is filed under the name Oryza brachyantha (malo sina). RNAcentral's name for it is "long non-coding RNA (OBRA_LNC002974)". Lineage: Eukaryota; Viridiplantae; Streptophyta; Magnoliopsida; Poales; Poaceae. The record is from RNAcentral.